Molecule: transfer RNA, 64 nt
Filed under: Trigonopterus puspoi
Lineage: Eukaryota; Metazoa; Arthropoda; Insecta; Coleoptera; Curculionidae
Description: tRNA-Tyr
Rfam family: tRNA
About the family: Transfer RNA (tRNA) molecules are approximately 80 nucleotides in length. Their secondary structure includes four short double-helical elements and three loops (D, anti-codon, and T loops).
Source: RNAcentral
GGUAAAAUGGCUGAGAUUAGGCGAUAAAUUGUAAAUUUAUAGACGAUGGGAACUUCUUUUACCA